This is a long non-coding RNA of Rattus rattus (black rat), 379 nucleotides long. RefSeq lists it as uncharacterized. The record is from RefSeq and is a predicted model, not a curated record. NCBI's taxonomy places the organism in Eukaryota, Metazoa, Chordata, Mammalia, Rodentia, Muridae. The transcript has 3 exons.
CCAAAAUGCUAGGAGAAACAACUACUGAGAGGACACAUUAAUUGGUCCAUGGUUCCAGAGGACUGCAGUCCAUCAUUGUAAAAAGGCAUGGCAGAGUGGCUGAGUCUGUGGCAGCAGGUCAUUCAGCCCUCUGCAUGGACAGCCAACUGCCAGGUGCCGGAUUACUCCAGAUGUCAAUCACUUCAGAUGUCAAUCACUCCAGAUGUCAAUCACUUCAGAUGUCAUAUCACUUCAAGUUUGGAUCGAAGCAAUCCAUUCUAUUUCAUCCCUUGGACCUUGUCUCUUCACCCUCUUCUCCCUCACAAGUCUCAAAUCCCCUUGCUAUGUAGAGAGUAGUAGACCAUCUCUGAUUUAUAAUAAUUAAACUUACUUUUUAUCU